AAAACACACAUGUCAUUUAUAAACCCUGCAAACAUUUCUUCAACUGCAAAUGGCUGCUAUAUUUGCUUAACGAAAAGACCUUUACAUAUCUAAAGGUAGGGAGAAGAAGAAGAUGAGCUUUUGUUAUCCAGCAGUAAUAGAACGGCUAUGGCGGAAGCCUAAGAGCUUUUCGACUACGAAGCUCUCUGUGCCAAAAUCGAUAGUUGCGAUGGCGUUUUUCACACUGCUUCUCCGAUGACCGACGAUCCCGAGACAAUGUUGGAGCCGGCGGUAAACGGAGCCAAGUUCGUGAUUGAUGCAGCGGCUAAAGCCAAGUUCAAGCCCGUGGUUUUCACGUCAUCAAUUGGUUUAGUUUACAUUAACCCUAACCGUGACCCUCAAGCCAUAGUUGACGAAAACUGCUGGAGUGAUCUUGAUUUCUGCAAAAAUACUAAGAAUUGGUAUUGCUACGGGAAGAUGGUGGUGGAACAAUCGGCGUGGGAGACGGCGAAGGAAAAAGGUGUAGACUUGCUGGUGAAUUAAAUCUAGCGUUUAACUUUCUAGCACAUGACGAUGAGCAGUAUGUGUGGGAGUCUCAGGCCGGUGGGUCUUUCACUGUGACCAGAGACACCUCUGGGGAGGCUCUUGGUAGAGGAACCAAGAUGGUCCUUUACCUCAAGGAAGACCAGUUGGUGACAGGUGAGGAAGCUAUUAAAACAGCCUUAGGGGAAAUGGAUUCAACCAAAGAAUCUUUACUAUUCUGGAAAGACCAUUCAAAAUUUGAUGUUGGAACAUCUUUGUUAACCAAGUUUUUAAUGCAUUCAACAGAUGAAUUUUCCUAUUAAAGUUUUUUUUUGUUUGGAUUUUUAAUUUUCCAAUCAACGAUGGUAUGUUUCAUCUCUCCGUUUUUAGGGUUUCUUUAACUGUAAGCUCAUUAAGUGAUAAUGAAAUCAAUUACUUCAAUAUAUUAAUUUGAAUCUAUAAAAAAGAUGAACUGGAAGAUUCCAGUUGCACAUGUAACUCCAGAAGCUAACAGAAGCUAUGAAGAAGAAGAGGAAGCCCCAUUACACUCUUCAGCAAGGAUAUAUGAGGGGUUAUUGGUUCAUAGAUUUAUAUGGAAUUAGAAAUC
This is a long non-coding RNA of Arabidopsis lyrata subsp. lyrata, 1108 nucleotides long. RefSeq lists it as uncharacterized. The record is from RefSeq and is a predicted model, not a curated record. The transcript is spliced from 6 exons. Lineage: Eukaryota; Viridiplantae; Streptophyta; Magnoliopsida; Brassicales; Brassicaceae.